UACGGAGGGAGCUAGCGUUGUCCGGAAUUACUGGGCGUAAAGCGCGCGUAGGCGGCUUUGUAAGUUAGAGGUGAAAGCCCGGGGCUCAACCCCGGAACUGCCUUUAAGACUGCAUCGCUUGAAUCCGGGAGAGGUGAGUGGAAUUCCGAGUGUAGAGGUGAAAUUCGUAGAUAUUCGGAAGAACACCAGUGGCGAAGGCGGCUCACUGGACCGGUAUUGACGCUGAUGUGCGAAAGCGUGGGGAGCAAACAGG
RNAcentral lists this ribosomal RNA (253 nucleotides) under uncultured bacterium. RNAcentral's name for it is "partial 16S ribosomal RNA". It matches the Rfam family "Bacterial small subunit ribosomal RNA", at positions 524 to 776 of the family's 1533-position model. The record is from RNAcentral.